This 252-nucleotide ribosomal RNA is filed under the name uncultured bacterium. Its description in RNAcentral is "partial 16S ribosomal RNA". It matches the Rfam family "Bacterial small subunit ribosomal RNA", at positions 525 to 776 of the family's 1533-position model. The record is from RNAcentral.
ACGUACCGGACGAACGUUAUUCGGAAUUACUGGGCUUAAAGAGUGCGUAGGCGGCUUUGUAGGUUGGGUGUGAAAUCCCACAGCUCAACUGUGGAACUGCGCUCAAAACCACAAAGCUUGAGGAAGGUAGAGGUAAGCGGAACUGAUGGUGGAGCGGUGAAAUGCGUUGAUAUCAUCAGGAACACCGGUGGCGAAGGCGGCUUACUGGGCCUUUUCUGACGCUGAGGCACGAAAGCUAGGGUAGCGAACGGG